UCAUUUGACGUUAGCUGCAGAAGAAGCACCGGCUAACUCCGUGCCAGCAGCCGCGGUAAUACGGAGGGUGCGAGCGUUAAUCGGAAUUACUGGGCGUAAAGCGCAUGCAGGUGGUUUGUUAAGUCAGAUGUGAAAGCCCGGGGCUCAACCUCGGAAUAGCAUUUGAAACUGGCAGACUAGAGUACUGUAGAGGGGGGUAGAAUUUCAGGUGUAGCGGUGAAAUGCGUAGAGAUCUGAAGGAAUACCGGUGGCGAAGGCGGCCCCCUGGACAGAUACUGACACUCAGAUGCGAAAGCGUGGGGAGCAAACAGGAUUAGAUACCCUGGUAGUCCACGCCGUAAACGAUGUCUACUUGGAGGUUGUGGCCUUGAGCCGUGGCUUUCGGAGCUAACGCGUUAAGUAGACCGCCUGGGGAGUACGGUCGCAAGAUUAAAACUCAAAUGAAUUGACGGGGGCCCGCACAAGCGGUGGAGCAUGUGGUUUAAUUCGAUGCAACGCGAAGAACCUUACCUACUCUUGACAUCC
RNAcentral lists this ribosomal RNA (525 nucleotides) under Vibrio coralliilyticus. RNAcentral's name for it is "bacterial SSU rRNA". It matches the Rfam family "Bacterial small subunit ribosomal RNA", at positions 465 to 989 of the family's 1533-position model. The record is from RNAcentral. Lineage: Bacteria; Pseudomonadati; Pseudomonadota; Gammaproteobacteria; Vibrionales; Vibrionaceae.